UACGGGGGGGGCAAGCGUUGUUCGGAAUUACUGGGCGUAAAGGGCUCGUAGGUGGCCAACUAAGUCAGACGUGAAAUCCCUCGGCUUAACCGGGGAACUGCGUCUGAUACUGGAUGGCUUGAGUUCGGGAGAGGGAUGCGGAAUUCCAGGUGUAGCGGUGAAAUGCGUAGAUAUCGGGAGGAACACCUGAGGCGAAGGCGGGCUACUGGGCUGAUACUGACGCUGAUGCGCGAAAGCCAGGGGAGCGAACGGG
Molecule: ribosomal RNA, 253 nt
Filed under: uncultured bacterium
Lineage: Bacteria
Description: partial 16S ribosomal RNA
Rfam family: Bacterial small subunit ribosomal RNA
Source: RNAcentral